Molecule: ribosomal RNA, 253 nt
Filed under: uncultured prokaryote
Description: partial 16S ribosomal RNA
Rfam family: Bacterial small subunit ribosomal RNA
Source: RNAcentral
UACGGAGGGUGCAAACGUUGCUCGGAAUCAUUGGGCGUAAAGCGCACGUAGGCGGCGUGAUAAGUUGGGUGUGAAAGCCCUGGGCUCAACCCAGGAAGUGCAUUCAAAACUGUCACGCUUGAAUCUCGGAGGGGGUCAGAGAAUUCCCGGUGUAGAGGUGAAAUUCGUAGAUAUCGGGAGGAAUACCAGUGGCGAAGGCGCUGACCUGGACGAAGAUUGACGCUGAGGUGCGAAAGCGUGGGGAGCAAACAGG